UUGUUGGUAAGGUAAAAGCUUACCAAGGCUUCGAUCAGUAGCUGGUCUGAGAGGACGACCAGCCACACUGGGACUGAGACACGGCCCAGACUCCUACGGGAGGCAGCAGUGGGGAAUUUUGGACAAUGGGGGCAACCCUGAUCCAGCCAUGCCGCGUGAGUGAAGAAGGCCUUCGGGUUGUAAAGCUCUUUCAGCCGGAACGAAACGGUUACGGAUAACACCCGUGACUACUGACGGUACCGGAAGAAGAAGCACCGGCUAACUACGUGCCAGCAGCCGCGGUAAUACGUAGGGUGCGAGCGUUAAUCGGAAUUACUGGGCGUAAAGCGUGCGCAGGUGGUUUUGUAAGUCAGAUGUGAAAGCCCCGGGCUCAACCUGGGAACUGCGUUUGAAACUACAAGACAAGAGUGUGGCAGAGGGGGGUGGAAUUCCGCGUGUAGCAGUGAAAUGCGUAGAGAUGUGGAGGAACACCGAUGGCGAAGGCAGCCCCCUGGGUCAACACUGACGCUCAGGCACGAAAGCAUGGGGAGCAAACAGGAUUAGAUACCCUGGUAGUCCAUGCCCUAAACGAUGUCAACUAGUUGUCGGGCCUUUACGGGCUUGGUAACGUAGCUAACGCGUGAAGUUGACCGCCUGGGGAGUACGAUCGCAAGAUUAAAACUCAAAUGAAUUGACGGGGACCCGCACAAGCGGUGGAUUAUGUGGAUUAAUUCGAUGCAACGCGAAAAACCUUACCUACCCUUGACAUGUAUCGAAGCCCGCAGAAAAGCGGGGGUGCCCGAAAGGGAACGAUAACACAGGUGCUGCAUGGCUGUCGUCAGCUCGUGUCGUGAGAUGUUGGGUUAAGUCCCGCAACGAGCGCAACCCUUGUCAUUAAUUGCCAUCAUUUAGUUGGGCACUUUAAUGAGACUGCCGG
Molecule: ribosomal RNA, 916 nt
Filed under: uncultured bacterium
Lineage: Bacteria
Description: bacterial SSU rRNA
Rfam family: Bacterial small subunit ribosomal RNA
Source: RNAcentral